RNAcentral lists this long non-coding RNA (331 nucleotides) under Vigna radiata. Its description in RNAcentral is "long non-coding RNA (VRAD_LNC009385)". The record is from RNAcentral. Lineage: Eukaryota; Viridiplantae; Streptophyta; Magnoliopsida; Fabales; Fabaceae.
GGGGGAGAAAUAAAUAAAGGUGAUUGAGAGAUGAAAAGGAAAAGAAAGAUAUAACAAUAUUUGUAACGGAGGAAUGCAUAUAGAUGUAUAUACUAUGGUAGGUUUCUGGUAAAGGCACAUAAAAUAUAGAGAAUGUGGGUGAUAACUAUGAAGAAAAGAUGUUUGGAUUCUCUGUUGAAAAAGGAAUGUGGUAGAACGAAGGUAGUUUUACUGGGGAUCAGUGUUUCAGCAUCAAAGAAAAAAUUUGAUCUCUAGUACUGUCUUUUAUCAGUGUGUGAAUAUCUUUCGUCAAAGACUAUAGAUUAUGAGUAUGGCAAUUUGAUAAUGUCUU